This 1692-nucleotide ribosomal RNA is filed under the name Staphylococcus aureus. RNAcentral's name for it is "partial 23S ribosomal RNA". It matches the Rfam family "Bacterial large subunit ribosomal RNA", at positions 1234 to 2925 of the family's 2925-position model. Lineage: Bacteria; Bacillati; Bacillota; Bacilli; Caryophanales; Staphylococcaceae. The record is from RNAcentral.
GAGCGUUCUAAGGGCGUUGAAGCAUGAUCGUAAGGACAUGUGGAGCGCUUAGAAGUGAGAAUGCCGGUGUGAGUAGCGAAAGACGGGUGAGAAUCCCGUCCACCGAUUGACUAAGGUUUCCAGAGGAAGGCUCGUCCGCUCUGGGUUAGUCGGGUCCUAAGCUGAGGCCGACAGGCGUAGGCGAUGGAUAACAGGUUGAUAUUCCUGUACCACCUAUAAUCGUUUUAAUCGAUGGGGGGACGCAGUAGGAUAGGCGAAGCGUGCGAUUGGAUUGCACGUCUAAGCAGUAAGGCUGAGUAUUAGGCAAAUCCGGUACUCAUUAAGGCUGAGCUGUGAUGGGGAGAAGACAUUGUGUCUUCGAGUCGUUGAUUUCACACUGCCGAGAAAAGCCUCUAGAUAGAAAAUAGGUGCCCGUACCGCAAACCGACACAGGUAGUCAAGAUGAGAAUUCUAAGGUGAGCGAGCGAACUCUCGUUAAGGAACUCGGCAAAAUGACCCCGUAACUUCGGGAGAAGGGGUGCUCUUUAGGGUUAACGCCCAGAAGAGCCGCAGUGAAUAGGCCCAAGCGACUGUUUAUCAAAAACACAGGUCUCUGCUAAACCGUAAGGUGAUGUAUAGGGGCUGACGCCUGCCCGGUGCUGGAAGGUUAAGAGGAGUGGUUAGCUUCUGCGAAGCUACGAAUCGAAGCCCCAGUAAACGGCGGCCGUAACUAUAACGGUCCUAAGGUAGCGAAAUUCCUUGUCGGGUAAGUUCCGACCCGCACGAAAGGCGUAACGAUUUGGGCACUGUCUCAACGAGAGACUCGGUGAAAUCAUAGUACCUGUGAAGAUGCAGGUUACCCGCGACAGGACGGAAAGACCCCGUGGAGCUUUACUGUAGCCUGAUAUUGAAAUUCGGCACAGCUUGUACAGGAUAGGUAGGAGCCUUUGAAACGUGAGCGCUAGCUUACGUGGAGGCGCUGGUGGGAUACUACCCUAGCUGUGUUGGCUUUCUAACCCGCACCACUUAUCGUGGUGGGAGACAGUGUCAGGCGGGCAGUUUGACUGGGGCGGUCGCCUCCUAAAAGGUAACGGAGGCGCUCAAAGGUUCCCUCAGAAUGGUUGGAAAUCAUUCAUAGAGUGUAAAGGCAUAAGGGAGCUUGACUGCGAGACCUACAAGUCGAGCAGGGUCGAAAGACGGACUUAGUGAUCCGGUGGUUCCGCAUGGAAGGGCCAUCGCUCAACGGAUAAAAGCUACCCCGGGGAUAACAGGCUUAUCUCCCCCAAGAGUUCACAUCGACGGGGAGGUUUGGCACCUCGAUGUCGGCUCAUCGCAUCCUGGGGCUGUAGUCGGUCCCAAGGGUUGGGCUGUUCGCCCAUUAAAGCGGUACGCGAGCUGGGUUCAGAACGUCGUGAGACAGUUCGGUCCCUAUCCGUCGUGGGCGUAGGAAAUUUGAGAGGAGCUGUCCUUAGUACGAGAGGACCGGGAUGGACAUACCUCUGGUGUACCAGUUGUCGUGCCAACGGCAUAGCUGGGUAGCUAUGUGUGGACGGGAUAAGUGCUGAAAGCAUCUAAGCAUGAAGCCCCCCUCAAGAUGAGAUUUCCCAACUUCGGUUAUAAGAUCCCUCAAAGAUGAUGAGGUUAAUAGGUUCGAGGUGGAAGCAUGGUGACAUGUGGAGCUGACGAAUACUAAUCGAUCGAAGACUUAAUCAA